CUACCCCUAAUAUAGCGUGGUGGGAGAGCCGAAGGAAUACUUAUUGAAGUAGUCACAACGACGACAUCACUAGCUAGGCCGCAUAUUCCAUCGCCAGAUCCGAACCAAGCGAAGUGAAGGAAGACGGGUGUCCUUUUCGUACACUGAGUGUGGUGGGUGAGUCUUCAUGCUGUGAAAACCUAUAAUUUUGACGUGGUGCUGUAUAUUGCUGUGGGCUGCUGUGUAUUGCCGUGUGUCCUGUCAGAUAAACCCCCGCCUUCACGCACUUCGUCGCGGGAGGACAAGGAGACUGCUGGUCCUAGCCUAGUUCAGUACAGUAUAUGUUGUGAGCGUGCUUCAGAUCUCCGGAGAUAGCACGGUACGCUGUGUCCAGCCCAGAGGUGAAAGCCAUCCAAAGCAGAGUAACUGUGCUUUGUGUCCAAGUUGAUACCUGUGGAGAGAAAAGGAAAGAGAGAGUGAGUAACACAAGGAGAACCAGAGGGAACCUGUACUUACAGUACGCUGUGUUCAGCCCAGAGGUGAGAGCCAUUCAAAGCAAACUAACUGUGUUAUUGUGCCCAAGUUGAUACCUGUGGAGAGAAAAGGAGAGAGAGUGGGUAACACGAGGAGAGACCGAGGAAACCUGUACUUACGCCGCUGCCUGUGGAGAAAGAGAAAGCGACCGUUGCCUGUGGAGGAAGAGAAAGAGACCGUUGCCUGUGGAGGAAGAGAAAGAGAGUGAGCACCUCGAGAACGAACUGUGUGAACCAGUACUUACCGUGAGCUGUAUUCAGCGAAGAGGAGGAAGAAGGAGGGCGCUACGGAUACCUAAGACUCAGGCCGGGGCCCGAGUCCCACGCCCCGGAUCCCCGUGGCCCCCUUGCUCCCUGACCUCUUCCCGGCCAUAGCCCAUCUGGAGGGCCGAGUCAGAGUUUAGUUUUAAUUGCCCUUUCCCUAUUCCCCAAG
Molecule: long non-coding RNA, 945 nt
Organism: Cyprinus carpio carpio
Lineage: Eukaryota; Metazoa; Chordata; Actinopteri; Cypriniformes; Cyprinidae
Source: Ensembl